RNAcentral lists this ribosomal RNA (254 nucleotides) under uncultured bacterium. RNAcentral describes it as "partial 16S ribosomal RNA". It matches the Rfam family "Bacterial small subunit ribosomal RNA", at positions 524 to 777 of the family's 1533-position model. The record is from RNAcentral.
UACAGAGGGGGCAAGCGUUGUUCGGAAUUACUGGGCGUAAAGGGCGCGUAGGCGGCCCGUUAAGUCGAACGUGAAAUCCCCAGGCUCAACCUGGGAACUGCGUCCGAUACUGGCGGGCUUGAAUCCGGGAGAGGGAUGCGGAAUUCCAGGUGUAGCGGUGAAAUGCGUAGAUAUCUGGAGGAACACUGGUGGCGAAGGCGGCAUCCUGGACCGGCAUUGACGCUGAGGCGCGAAAGCCAGGGGAGCAAACGGGG